This 490-nucleotide ribosomal RNA is filed under the name Porphyromonas gulae. RNAcentral's name for it is "bacterial SSU rRNA". It matches the Rfam family "Bacterial small subunit ribosomal RNA", at positions 9 to 493 of the family's 1533-position model. Lineage: Bacteria; Pseudomonadati; Bacteroidota; Bacteroidia; Bacteroidales; Porphyromonadaceae. The record is from RNAcentral.
GAGUUUGAUUAUGGCUCAGGAUGAACGCUAGCGAUAGGCUUAACACAUGCAAGUCGAGGGGCAGCAUGAACUUAGCUUGCUAAGUUUGAUGGCGACCGGCGCACGGGUGCGUAACGCGUAUGCAACUUGCCUUACAGAGGGGGAUAACCCGUUGAAAGACGGACUAAUACCGCAUAUACUUAUUCGGUUGCAUGACCGGGCAAGGAAAUAUUUAUAGCUGUAAGAUAGGCAUGCGUCCCAUUAGCUGGUUGGUGAGGUAACGGCUCACCAAGGCAACGAUGGGUAGGGGAACUGAGAGGUUUAUCCCCCACACUGGUACUGAGACACGGACCAGACUCCUACGGGAGGCAGCAGUGAGGAAUAUUGGUCAAUGGGCGAGAGCCUGAACCAGCCAAGUCGCGUGAAGGAAGACUGUCCUAAGGAUUGUAAACUUCUUUUAUACGGGAAUAACGGGCGAUACGUGUAUUGCUGUGAAUUACCUAGAUAGUUC